GGGCCCGCACAAGCGGUGGAGUAUGUGUUAUCGAGCACGCGAGAUCUCACGAGGUUUGACAUCCUGCGAAUCUCUUGGAAACGAGAGAGUGCCUUCGGGAACGCAGUGACAGGUGGUGCAUGGCUGUCGUCAGCUCGUGUCGUGAGAUGUUGGUUAAGUCCCGCAACGAGCGCAACCCACGUCGUUAGUUGCCAGCAUUUAGUUGGGCACUCUAGCGAGACCGCCGGUGAUAAACCGGAGGAAGGUGUGGAUGACGUCAAGUCAUCAUGCCCCUUACAUCCUGGGCUACACACGUACUACAAUGCUACGGACAAAGGGCAGCAAACUCGCGAGAGCUAGCA
RNAcentral lists this ribosomal RNA (341 nucleotides) under uncultured bacterium. Its description in RNAcentral is "bacterial SSU rRNA". It matches the Rfam family "Bacterial small subunit ribosomal RNA", at positions 917 to 1269 of the family's 1533-position model. The record is from RNAcentral.